CCUACGGGAGGCAGCAGUGAGGAAUAUUGGUCAAUGGGCGUAAGCCUGAACCAGCCAAGUCGCGUGAGGGAUGAAGGUUCUAUGGAUCGUAAACCUCGUUUAUAAGGGAAUAAAGUGUGGGACGUGGCCGAUUUUGUAUGUACCGUGGAAGAAGGAGCGGCUAACGCCGUGCCAGCAGCCGCGGUAAUACGGAGGAUCCGAGCGUUAGCCGGAUUUAGUGGGUUUAAAGGGUGCGUAGGCGGCCUUUGAAGUCAGCGGUGAAAGUCUAUGGCUCAACCAUAGAAUUGCCUUUGAAACUGGGGGGCUUGAUUAUGUUUGAGGCAGGCGGACUGCGUGGUGUAGCGGUGAAAUGCUUAGAUAUCACGCAGAACCCCGAUUGCGAAGGCGGCCUGCCAAGCCAUGACUGACGCUGAUGCACGAAAGCGUGGGGAUCAAACAGGAUUAGAUACCCCUGUAGUC
This 459-nucleotide ribosomal RNA is filed under the name uncultured bacterium. RNAcentral's name for it is "partial 16S ribosomal RNA". It matches the Rfam family "Bacterial small subunit ribosomal RNA", at positions 338 to 795 of the family's 1533-position model. The record is from RNAcentral.